GAGGAGGGAACUGUGCUCCCGGCACCCCUCCCACCUCACUUCUGCUGGAUCCGGGAGGAGGUGCUGAGAGGGACCAUUUCAGGGAUGCCCAUCCCUAGAGUGCACUUCCACCCUUUGGGCAGAACUGGGGGUAGCCCAGCAUUGCUACUGUGUGACCUGUAGGUGCAGAGGGAGUGGGGCCCCGGCUGUACCAGCACCUGGCUCCCACGGAAGCAGUCUGUGUGCAAGUUCAGAUGGGCGUGGCACAGCUGUGUAUCAAGAGAUUGGCUCCAUCCAAGACCAAAGGCAAUAACCCGAACCAAAAGGUCUCCUGCUCUAUUCCCAAGAGAUGCCAACCAAACAUCAACAAGGGCUUUGAUGCUUGCCAGUGACAAAGGGAGUCAGAGCUGGUCUGCAGAGAAUGACCAUCAAAUAAAAAGAAGAAUAUGUGGUUGACGUGUUAGGUUAGGGUCCCGUCUUAAGAAUAAAAUAGGUUAUACCCUACUGUUUAUGAUGGAAUAGACCAGAGAAGAGCACCUUCGUGGCUCAGUAGGUUAAGUGUCUGACUGCAGCUUGGAUCAUUACCCAGGACCCUGGGAUCAGGCCUGUAUCAGGCUCCCUGUUCGGUGCAGGGUCUGAAUAUCCCUCUCCCUCUGCCCUUCCCAUUCUCCUCUCUCAAAUAAGUAAACAAAUGAAAAACAAAACAAUUGCAUUCCUAUACAUCAUCUUCUUUAUUUCAUCCCGCCCACUCUCAGUCUACAAAGUAGCAGGUAUACUCCAACUGCACCAGGGACUCCCUCCUGUUGAUUCCCGCCUCAUUGUGCUUCCGGACCUGAGGUUUCUUCCUCUUCAGGAAUUUCAUCCUCAAUAUUUUCCACCGCCCAAUCUGAAUUCUACCCCUUUGCUUGUGAAAACAUGUCCAUGGGUCUCCACCUGGAAGACCCGUUUUCUGGUUUUGGUUUUUGUUUAUUUCACUACACCUGUGAUUUUCAUUCCAGUGAGGACCCAGAAUCAGAUUGGCGCUCCUGACUAAAGACAGGAAGAGACUGCUUCAGGGUACGUACCGCUGUCACUAGUUCUGAGGCCACCUGCAGGUACAGAAGAGAGAACACCAUGAGGCUCAGCUCCCUCUUACUCUGCACUGAUUUUACUGCUCUCAAAAACUUAAGGAAGCCAGAUGGGAGGGACAUCAUGUUUGACACACUGGUGCCCAAAUAAAUGACAGGACACCUGGAGGAAGCUGCUUUUC
Molecule: long non-coding RNA, 1228 nt
Filed under: Vulpes vulpes (red fox)
Lineage: Eukaryota; Metazoa; Chordata; Mammalia; Carnivora; Canidae
Description: lncRNA (ENSVVUG00000001561.1)
Source: RNAcentral